Molecule: ribosomal RNA, 253 nt
Filed under: uncultured bacterium
Lineage: Bacteria
Description: partial 16S ribosomal RNA
Rfam family: Bacterial small subunit ribosomal RNA
Source: RNAcentral
UACGUAGGCAGCGAGCGUUGUUCGGAGUUACUGGGCGUAAAGAGUGCGUAGGCGGUUUUCUUAGUUUGGUGUGAAAUCUCCCGGCUCAACUGGGAGGGUGCGCCGAAGACUGGAAGGCUUGAGUAUGGGAGAGGUAAGCGGAAUUCCUGGUGUAGCGGUGAAAUGCGUAGAUAUCAGGAGGAACACCUGCGGUGUAGACGGCUUACUGGACCAUAACUGACGCUGAGGCACGAAAGCGUGGGUAGCAAACAGG